AUUGUUAUAAGUAAAAUCUGCUCCAUGUUAAUAUAAAUAGCCGCAGAAUUUUAACUGUGCUAAGGUAGCAUAAUCAUUUACCUUUUAAUUAAAGGUUUGUAUGAAUGAUUUAACAUUUAAAUUACUUUUUUAAUCCCACACAUCAAAAUUUAAUUAAGAAUAAAAAUGUUCUUAUUAACAAAAAAGACGACAAGACCCUACUGAACUUUACUAAAGUUAAGCUGGGGAAGCUAGUUAAAUAUAAUUUUAGCUACCUUAGUUAAAUAAGUUUCUGGUACAGCCAAUUUGAACAAGUUACCAUAGGGAUAACAGCGUAAUAAUUUUUGAAAGCUCUUAUUAAAAAAAAAGAUUACGACCUCGAUGUUGAAUUAAAAUUACUUUAAAACGCAAUAGUAUAAAAGUAGGUCUGU
This 410-nucleotide ribosomal RNA is filed under the name Lidia sp. LT-2015. RNAcentral describes it as "partial 16S ribosomal RNA". It matches the Rfam family "Bacterial large subunit ribosomal RNA", at positions 1842 to 2580 of the family's 2925-position model. The record is from RNAcentral. Lineage: Eukaryota; Metazoa; Arthropoda; Arachnida; Araneae; Linyphiidae.